This 23678-nucleotide long non-coding RNA is filed under the name Lactuca sativa (garden lettuce). RNAcentral describes it as "long non-coding RNA (LSAT_LNC005846)". The record is from RNAcentral. Lineage: Eukaryota; Viridiplantae; Streptophyta; Magnoliopsida; Asterales; Asteraceae.
GAACAUUUGAAGGUAAGUGAAUGACGAUUCACUAAUUUCCACCAUGAAAAACGAAAAAGAAAUUUAAGUUUUAAAUCUAUGAAAACUCCUAGAUCCUUUGAGAUUCAUUGAACAUUUCAAUGGCAUGUUUAAAUCUCGAUAUGCCCCUCUAGUUUGUGACUGGGAUGCCGAGGAUCACAAAGCGGGUGUGAAUAACCAUGCAAACUUACAUGGUGCCCUCACAUGUUACAGUCACCUAUUCGAUGUGCCGGUAAACCACACACGCUCCAUCGAACUAUGACAAACAUUGAGUCACCCUUUGCUACCUUUGCUUAGAACCAUUUAGUGUGUCGGUAAACCACACACGCUCCACUAACGUAUUUGCAAGGGCACAAAGUGUAAUUUUAUGGAAUUGCAUCAAUUCACUUUUACCUAAGUAAUUAAGAUUGGGAAUUUUAUGAAACCAUUUAGUUACUUUUAUAUUAUACUUAUAAUGGAAGGUUUCUUCCUAUCCUACCCGUUCGGCUAACGACCCUCCACUAGUCAAGAGUGCCGUGGGUAAGAGUGGAUACCCAUUCAAUCGCCAUUUUAUAGGCAAUUUCCUUAAACACCCCUUAUAGACUAGCUUCGUGAAUGAGGCCUACUAACGGUAAGACUGACUUUUACUCAUACAUACUCUUGCCCCAAAAUGGACCAUUCUACCCCUCACAUACUCUUGCCCCAAAAUGGACUCUACUCAUAACUCAUGGCUUAAAAAGAUAAUUACUCCCAUAAGGCCCAAUAUAUGGCCCAAUUUCCAAUUGGGCCUAAUUAUUUCUCAUGGGCCUUAGCCCAUUGCCCUAAAAUAUUUCUUCAGCCCAUUAGCUCAAUUUUCAGGUGGUCCACCUCGGCCCAAGACACUAUUCCCUGGAAGUGGCCCAAACCAAGGCCCAAUAAUGAAGAACCCACUCUGACUGAGUAUGUAGGGUGUACUUAUCUGUACGCUAAGCGUAUAGGCUACAUGGCUUGUACGCCGUGUGUAUGGGAUUGUACGCUCAGCGUACUCCUCUAUUAAGCCAUAAUCUCAAAAAGUGCAUAACCCCUUAAGACCUAAAGCUCCAAACACAUAUCUGAGUCCAUUACAACAUCUUAACCCAUAAAGGUUGAUUACUUGGUGGCUGGAAAACCACCAAAUGGGUCCAAGCUUGGAAUAUGAGAAUCUACUUUUAUGAAAAUGGCCAAAACUCAUGCAUAAACUCUCCAAGACCUUCAAGAUGACAACUUUCUGACUUAGGGAAUCAAAUAGCACCAAGGGUGGCAACCCUAAGCCUAGGAAUCGAUUUUGAGCAACAAAGCUUCAUCCUUGGGACCAAAAAGGUCCAAAAACUAAACAUAAGAGAUCUAAGCACUCAUGGAUCAAGUUGAAGACUUUAUACCUUGAAAAGGUUUGAAAUGAAGCAAUAAUCCUAGAUCUACAACUUCUCCUUUGUACCACCACCUUUCUUUGACCUUUACUUCCUUGGAGAAUGGAUCCAAAACAUCAAAAUGCUCUUAAGAGGCUUUACAAGAACAAGAAGAAACAAAAUAUGGAUUAUGGUUUUGUGGGAGUAGCUUGAGGGUGAGAGGGAUGUUGGACUUUAAGGCAUAAUGUUCUUUAUAUAGGGAUCAAACCCUAAAUUUUGUGUUUUGGGGAUUACACACGUAUGCUGCGCGUACUCUUCAAUAUGUUAAGCGUACGUACAUGUCAUGUGCGAUCAACUUACAUCAGUACGUUGCGCGUACAUAGGGUGGUACACCCAGCGUACGACACCCAUUAAGCCCACUUUGCAAGGAACUAAUGGAUCCAUGCCCAAUCAAUAUAAUAUAAAUAAUCCAAUACAUAAAUAAUACCUUGGAGAAUUAUCGAGCAUUACAGUAGUGGUCGUAAGAAGCCCUAGUGGCAAAAUGGUAAUUUUGGGUGAAUGUGUGGUAGGCUAAGCGUACAUGUGAGUACACUAAGUGUACUAGUGUGUGCCCUAGUAUACUGGGCGUACUCUUGUCCGAAAGAAACCCUGAGUUUUAGGGUUUGUGGGUAUUUAAGCACCUUUAUGAUCAUUUAGCCUUAUCUUUUCAACCUCCAAGCCCUUGAGUCAUUUUUUGAAAACCCUAACCCCAUAAGAGAGUGUCUUGAGCUAAAAGUGUGUCCUUUGUGUGCUUAAUGAAGAAGGAGUUGCAUCAAGGAGAUUAGUAGUUGAAGCAAGCUUUUGGAUCUUGGAUCAUUACCUUCUUGGGAUGCUCUGGGAGAUAAAAAGUUGCUACCUUUAUGCUUAGUUUUCUUAGAUCUCAUUUUUCUAGUUUUAUGAUGUUCUUUUUGUCCCAAAAAUCCCAUUGUUAUGCAUGUAUGGUUUUGGUCGUUUUGGGUUGUCCUUUCAUACCCUAGGCAGGGUUCUAAGCCAUAAAAAUGAGGUCCCUUUAGCUAUUUUGGCUCCAUGCUUCUUGUAAAAGGUCUUAAUGGAUUCAUACCAUGUAUUAAGGACUUUUUGGACGUCUAAAGUCAUAAAGUUGGAGACUUUAUGACCCUAGAGUGCAUUUGGAUCAUGGAUCUGAAGUUUGGGCUUAAGUGAUUAAGCCAUUAAGAACUUAAGAAGAAAUUGAGACUUGUGAGGGUAUGCCCCAUGUAGAGAGGUGUACGCACCGCGUACCCAAUAUGCUCCCCCAAAUAUGAAUUUUGUGCAGCCUCGUGUACAAUGAGCGUACCUCCGGAGUAUGCCCCGCAUAUGCGAGAGUUUUGGGCCUCCUUGUUUUGGGCUUCGGUUUUGGAUUCGGAUUGUCUUGGGCCAUGUUGGGUCACCUGGAUUUUAUAUUUUGGGCUUUUGUAUUGUUGGAGUUUCUUGGGUAAAGGCUUACAAAAUGGAUUAGGCCUAAUUUGAAAAUUUGGGACAUAUUUGGGCCUUAGAUGUUUGUUUUGGAUUUUGGGCCUUUGGGCAUCUAGUUUGGGCCUUAGCUUUAGCCCACGCUUGAGAAGGGUAAAAAGGUCUUUUACCCUAAUUUGAACGCAUAACAUGGAUCAAGGGCUACAUGUUGAUGGGUUGUAUUUAUGGUAAUUGAUAGCGCGUGGAUAAUAGUGGAUCUGCAGUCAGAGAUUAUUUGUGGGAUCAGAUCUGAUGAGGUGUUGUAUUUAUAUUGGCGGUUCGGGGAUCUGGCAGCCAGCAGUGCGAGGUGAGUUUUCCUCACUGUAUUACGGGUCGAAGGCACAAAUUCCAACCCACUGGUUUGAUAUCCUGCUAUUCACUGAUAUUUUGAGUGUGGUAUAGAUAUGCAUGAUUAUGCUGGUUGCUGAUAUUUUAGUAUGGUAGACCUGUAGGACUACCUAUGAUUCUGUCUACCUGAUUGUUUGUAUAAAUUUGUCAUCUAUCAACAUAUUGUGUUGCGUUGAGGUUGUACUACUUCGUGCUAUAGCCAACAAACCUUGGAGCGUUCCAGAUACGAGCUGAGGGCCAGGUAGGGCAUGUCAGACUCAUACCAAGGGAUUAGUUGCAUUCCAGAUACGAGUUGAGGACCUGGUUGGUAUGUCAGACUCUUACUGAGGGCUUAAGAAUAUUGGAGUAGUCCAGAUAUGAAUUGAGGGUCAGUUAGGGCAUGCCAGACUCAAAUUGAGGGCUAAGUAGCAUUCCAGAUACGAGCUAUAGGCCGGUUGGUAUGCCAGACUUGUAUUGAGGUCUGAACAUUAGUAUUCUAGUCCUAUGACUGAUUGAGUUGGGAGAAAGAAAAUUAUAAGUUUUAGGCAUUAGGGGCAAGCCAGGCUUAUGAUGUGGGCUCAAGAGCAAGCCAGAUAUGAACUGUGGGCCUGAUAGGCAAGCCAGACUCAUACUAUGGGCUCAGGGGUAAUCCAGUCUUCUAGCUGUGGACCCAGUACAUGUUUUUGUUAUUUAUGUUCUAAUUGUUUGGGUGUUGGUACUUUGGGGGAACUCAUUAAGCUUUGUGCUUACAGUUUGUUUAUGGGUUCAGGUUCUUUAGAUGAUUCGUGGCAAGGCGAAGGUGUGACCGUACACAUACUCGGUUUUACAACAGAUUGGAUCUUAGGAGACUCUGAUUUUAAAUCAUGUUUUGGGAGAAAAUGUUUUUGUAAACACUUUUUUUAAUAAAUGGUUUGUUUUGAAAGGUUUAAAUUUUGUGAUGUUACAACCAUUAUGGCAUGCAAGCUAGGUUAGCUCAUCCCAGAUAGACCCUCAUUCGGAAGUCGCAUGGUGCGGAUGUGUGAAGCUAUUACUCUCAACAACCGGUUAGAAAUUCGGUCUAUUGGUUAUUUGGUAGGUAAGCAUGAGACCAGGGAGGUCUCGACAACAUCCAGAGUGUAAUUAUCGAGGAACAAGAUGAGCCAGAUGUGGUGCUAGUGACUGGGACUCGUGUUUGGAGUUGCUUGUUAUUUAGUGAAUAUGUUAAGUCACUUACUGUGUGGGUUAAAUAAUCUCAAAGUAAUUGGUUUGACCCUACUACGUAACUCUCGUCUGAGUCUAACCGUUGCGGGGAUGAGUCUUUUACUUGAAGGAUUAUCUAAUUCUUCUUUUAAGUGAAAAGUUUUUGGCAGUAAUGAAUGUCCAGUGAUUCUGUUUCCCAAUGGAAACAAACAGAAAAUCCAGCGGUUGGAAGAGUUAUGUUCCGUUUUGAAUUCGAAGUGGAGUUGAAAUGGCAGUGAUUUAGAGUGGAUUGUCUGUCGGGGAGACAAACACCAUUUUAGGAUUUCGAUUUUCAAGUAGAGUGGUGAUGGUUACUCUUCAGGGGAUAAUUUAAGUAGGGAAGGGAUUUGUUUAUAGUUAGGAUUUGAGAGCCCUGCUAUGGCUAGGUUCAGUUACAGUUUUGGAAUGUUGUUUUAUGCUUAAGUCGACUUCUCAAUUCGAAUUAGGGUUGUGGGAGUAUCGCCCUGGGUGUCUGGCAUUUCUGGAAGGUAAUAAGGAAUGAUUUCGAGGAUGAAAUCUAAUUUAAGUGGGGGAGAGUUGUAACACCCUGUUUUGAAUCGUUUCUUAAUUCAGAGCCGUGCCUCGAAGAUCAGUUUCAUAAGGCUUCAGGCCUUAGGGGAAGGAAAGAUCUAUGCCCUUUUGGAUGUAGGUAAUGUAGAUUAGGUGAUUCGAGAGUCCGUUUGGGGCUUUGGAGCCCAUGGGUAUAGCCGUAAAGUGAUAGUUCGGUCCUUUUAUGAAAUUUGGGUUUAAGUUCAUAAGUUUUAAGGCAAAGGAGAAUGGAUAGGAUUGUGGAGCUUCUUAUUACCUUUCCAUGGAUAUAAUGAUCGUCGAAAAUGGAGUUGGAACAAGGAAGUUAUGACCUAUUAAAGUUAGAAGAGUUUUGGGGCUUAGGCUAGUACGUGGGGCGUACUCCUUGAAUACACAGCGCGUAGUGGUGGUUUUGGUUGCGAGUAACUUUCGCGUACGUCGGGCGUACUUAGGAGUACGCAAGGCAUACUUCAGCCAACUAGAAACCCUAAUCUUUUGGGUUUCACCCCUAUUUAAGCUCAUUAUGUCCCUUGAGCCUUGCCUCUUAUUAGCGUCUAUACCUCCCAAACCCUAAUCUUGACACUUAGCCACCUUCUUAGUGUUCUUGAGCUCUUGUGAAAAAUCUUAGGGUUUUCUUGUGCAUUUUGAAGAGAUAGAAGGUUAUUGAAGAUUCAUCAAUUGGUGUGAAGCUUAGAGAUCUAGAGUUAUCACUUCUUUUGCAAUCUAUUGAAGCGUGGGGAUUUUCCGGAUCAAGAGUUUGAGCUUUUAUUUGAGAUAUUCAACAGCUAGAAGUGAGUCUCAUCAAUAUCUCUGUGGGUCGAAGGCACCAAUGUCGACCUAUUGGUUUAUGUAUUAUAGGAAUACCAGGGGUGGCCCAUGGAAUUUGUAUGAAAGACCCAAAGGCGGCUCUUGGCAAAUUAUAUGCAAGAUGGGGGAUCAGACCUUUGCAGGUAGAUAGAUAAAUAUAUGUAUAGAUAGUAUGCUAGUUGUCUUUGUGAUACUUGCAUGGAAGACCAUGAUAUGGCUCUUGACACUUGUCUGUAAGACCCAGGGUUUUGGCCCCCGACCUGGUAAGGAGAGACCAUGAUACGACUCGUGGCAUAAUGACAAGACUGUGGUUGGCACAUAGCAUUCUUUAUUGUAUGUACGGUAUAUGGUAUUUUGGGGAACUCACUAAGCUUUGUGCUUACGGUUAUUGUUUAUGGUUUCAGAUACUUCCAUUACAAAAGGGAAGAGCCCGACAUGACUACACUACGUCCACCUAUGUUUAUGUAACUUUAUGAUUUUAGGAUUUUACUUUGAUAACUGUUUCACCUUAAUGUACUUUUGAAUGAUUGGAUAUACUAAAUAGGGUCUUAUGGUUGAAUUAUAAAUGAAAUUUUUAUCUUAUAAUUUUUGGGAUGUCACAUAACUUCUUUUAAAAUAAUAUUUUUACACCUCUAUUAUUAUUAUUAUUAUUAUUAUUAUUAUUAUUAUUAUUACUGAUAGUGGAGGAUACCAACCGACUUGUCUUUAACAACCCAACUGAAGCAACCACAAAACCUAGACAUGUCGGGCAUAACAUAUGAUCUAGUUUAAACACCUUAUGGGGAAAGAGAAAUGGCCAAUGAUCAUCCUUUAAUUCAAAUCCUCUUAGGACUCGAAGUCAUGACUUUGUACAGGGAGAAAAGAAAAGCAUCACCAUAAGCAAGAAAUGUCACUUUCUUUAUCAAGCAAGCCCUCACCAUUAUUGUUAUUAUUUAUAAGGUAAUAUAAGGUAAUUAAACCUGAACAAUUAUACAAUAUUUGUCUUAUUUAACACACCUGGGAUUAUUUAGUACUAUGUUCAAUGAAGCAAUAAGAACGUAUACAAUCUCGCGGACCAAGGACAAUAUUGAAACAAAACUCAAAACAAAGAAAUAGAAUUUCUUACCGACCGACAAAGAAAAUUCCUAUAAUUGAUUCUAUAAUUAUUAUUAAAUAGAAAUCGACAACAAAAAAAUGAGAUUAUGAUACUAUCUGGAUUAAUUGUUAUUUUAUCUAAACCAAAACGAUUAUUUGACAACAAACAUAUAAUUAAGCGUUAAACAUUAAUGUUGAAAAUAAAAUCUUCAAAUUUAAUUUUUAAGUUGAGAUCCAAAUCCAUACAACGACUUUUGUGAGUAACCAAUCUCAUCCUUGGAUCUUGAACCCCCCGCGUGCCGACCACUAAUCGAAUGCCAUACUAAAUUACUAAUUAAUGCACACGUACGAAAACUUUUUUUGUUUUUUUUUUAAAUUUUAAAACUGAUAAUAUAAUAUUUUUAUUUUAUUCUUUAAAUUAUAUUUAUAAAUUUAAUUAUUUACUAUUUUAUAUAGCUAAUUUAAUUUUAUUACCUAUAUAUUUAUAUAAAAAGUAAUAUAAAAAUGCUUCUAUCAAAAUGUUCAGAACGGCAGAAGCUAAAUUGGACUACAUUUGAUAUUGUAGAUUUCAUUUUAUUUUUAUAGGUUUAAGUUCNNNNNNNNNNNNNNNNNNNNNNNNNNNNNNNNNUAUAUAUAUAUAUAUAUAUAUAGACACACACACUAGUCGUUUACCUGCACUAAGUGACGGGUGCGAAUAACUUUUUCAGAAAUUAGAGACAAUUAAUUUUUUUGCACAUAUAGUUUAUACGUCUAAAUAAUUAUCAAUAACAGUAGAGAUAUUCGGUUUUUGGGUAAUUCGGUUCGAGUGCAAUUAAUUCUUGUACAUAUUGCAGUAUUGAAAUGAUGACUAAGACCGGUCUUAGUCUCGUAUGUGAUUCACAUGAAGUGUAUGUGAUAGAGGAAGAGCGAUGAUGGUUCAGUGCUCCAACAACAAUGAUAGUGGAUGGUGGUGAUCGAGGUGGUAAUUAUGGUGUGUGAGUGUAAUGUUUAGAUCUAGGUAGUUUAAGGUUAGAGAGGUGGCAGUGGGUAGUUGAAGGCGUUGACAACGACAGUUUAGGGUUAGAUGGAUAAUGUGAUUGUACCAUAUUAGUGACGGUUGUGGCAAGGAUGACUAUGAGAAAGGAAAAUAUAGAAUGAGAGAAAGGAGUGGCUGAUAGUAGUCAACGAUUGUGGUGGUUAUGGCAGAGCUGGAGCGGUUAUGAGCAACUAUGGUGGUGGCGAUGAAAUGGGGAGAAUUAGUGUUAUAUAUAGAGGAAGAGGAUAAAUUUAUGGUCAAUUUGGUUAGCAUUGUUGACUAGUUCCUUUUGUUGAAUAAAUUUAUUUUUGGAAAAAAAUAUCAUUUUGAAAAUGACACACAAUUGACAAGUAUCAUUUACGGUCAUAUGGGUCAUAUUUGUGUUAUGUGACAACUACAACGAGCAAAGUAGAUGAGAGGGAACUGAAAGAAGGAUUGGUCCUUUAGCUAUUCGAUUGAACGCUUAAGUUUUUAUGUAAUUUGUAGCCCAAACUAUGAUUCUUUUCAUGUAUUUCUAAGUUCUUUAAGUUCAAACCAUGUUGGUUUAUGUAUUGCAAGUAUUUUCUUGGUUUUAUGUAUUGAAAAUAUUUUCUUGAAGGUGCUUUGAAUACUAUAAUUUCUAUUAUUUCACAUUCCACGUUGAUGUUUUUAUGUAAUUAGUAGCUCAAACUAAGCUUCCUUUAAUGUAUUUCUAAGUUCAAACAAUGUUAGAAUUAUGUAUUAAUCUUGGUAUGAUUAAACUUGUGUAAAAAAUAAAAAAUGAAUUAUUACUUUUAUGUUAUGCACCUAAAUAUAAGAAAAUGAUAUGUUAUCAUGAAAAAACAAUAAGAAACUACUAUUGGACAAUUAACCGAAUACCACCUUAAAUCUAAUAGUUUGAAUGAUUUUAGUGAAGAUGUAUAUAUAGUUAAAACUUAACCAAUCAACUUCCAUGGUGAAUUCCGUUGGUAUAAUUUUUUGAACCUUAAAGAAAAAGNNNNNNNNNNNNNNNNNNNNNNNNNNNNNNNNNNNNNNNNNNNNNNNNNNNNNNNNNNNNNNNNNNNNNNNNNNNNNNNNNNNNNNNNNNNNNNNNNNNNNNNNNNNNNNNNNNNNNNNNNNNNNNNNNNNNNNNNNNNNNNNNNNNNNNNNNNNNNNNNNNNNNNNNNNNNNNNNNNNNNNNNNNNNNNNNNNNNNNNNNNNNNNNNNNNNNNNNNNNNNNNNNNNNNNNNNNNNNNNNNNNNNNNNNNNNNNNNNNNNNNNNNNNNNNNNNNNNNNNNNNNNNNNNNNNNNNNNNNNNNNNNNNNNNNNNNNNNNNNNNNNNNNNNNNNNNNNNNNNNNNNNNNNNNNNNNNNNNNNNNNNNNNNNNNNNNNNNNNNNNNNNNNNNNNNNNNNNNNNNNNNNNNNNNNNNNNNNNNNNNNNNNNNNNNNNNNNNNNNNNNNNNNNNNNNNNNNNNNNNNNNNNNNNNNNNNNNNNNNNNNNNNNNNNNNNNNNNNNNNNNNNNNNNNNNNNNNNNNNNNNNNNNNNNNNNNNNNNNNNNNNNNNNNNNNNNNNNNNNGUAUUUUGUUUUCCCAAUAAAAUUUUGCUUAUUAAAUUAGAGAACCCUGAUGAAGAUAUGCGAUCUGCAAAACAAAAUAAAUGCUAUUAAAAAGAAAUAAAAUUCCAUUUAGAAGUUGGAGACAUAUUUUUGGAAACGGAAAAUAACCAUAUGAAUGCAGCAAAACACAUAAAAUAAGCAAAUUAAAAUGAGUAAAUACAAGAAAUUGCAACAUGCUUUAAAUUAUUUGAAUCGAGUUUACCAUCUUGAUUAGAAUUCCAAAUGGUAGAAACAAAGCUAUGGUCAACUUACCUCACUGGUAUGAAAUAAAAGUAAAAUACUAGAACACACAUAUAAAUAAAAGUACAUUUCCUUUUCAUGCAUGUUUUAAAAAGAAAGGAACAUAAGAUGAUGUAAAAAGAAAUAAACAAAAUUAAACCCAAUAAUAUAUCAAUAAUUGUAUUGCCAUUUCUAGGCUAGAAUAUUGGGUAAUAUUUGAUGUUGAUAACUUAAAUAAUAUUUUGUAAGAAUGCAUGAUCAACCAUAAUGGGGCAAUAGGUGGGCUUAACAAUCAUGGUAAGAAUACGUCCAAUUGGGUGGAUGUAAAAAAUAUGACGUAACUUAUCCAUAAUAAACACCUUCUUGAGUUCCUACACGAACAAUUACCCAAUCAUUAACGAAUUUGAAGAUGUUCUUAACUUUUAGUCAACAAUAGAGUUCAUAGCUACCCAACUAUUGGCACCUCCUCAAUCACACAUUCCACAAGCCAAGCACCUUCCACUAGUGAAUAUUGUUUCUCAGCCUUUUUCACCAGUAUCUGUCUAAUUAUCAAAGAUUAUUGUUGUAUCAAAUAUUGAUCAACUCAACUCAGUACACAUUAUAUACCACUUCAUAGCAGGCGAUAACAUCUAUGUAAAUUUUCAGGAAAAUAUUUGAGUCAAAAACGAAUAUGAGUGAGGUGCAAUAACAUCUUAGGGACCCAACAAUGACUAUUUCUAUAGGAACAAAAGAAAUGGAAAAAUAGUUGGUUAUAUUGAAAAUAUAUGAAAAGUAUGAAAGUUAUAUCAAAAUGACCUUACCUUUUUUUAGUCUCCGCUCCAAACUUGGUAUGAUUCUUCAUACAUUUGUAUCCGUUUUCUUGUAACUACUAAAUACUAAACAAACGGAAGUAGCUAAUGAAAGAAAUCUAGUUGAAGUGUCUAGUUCACCAUUUGCACAUGUAGAACUGUUAAAGGGUGAAUAGUUCUUGAGUAUCUCAAGACCACCAUUUUCCCUAAUUGUUUAGCUUCCUAAAAGAAAAGGAAACAAAGAACGUGAGUAGUUCCUACCAAAGUUGAAAUCUUAUUCAAGAUCAAGGGAUGUUUUAAAAAACAUCUUCACUUACCUUACCAUUACAAGGUCCCUUUUUAUCAACCAUUAUUUCUAAAUCGUCAAUGCUCUAUGGUAAGUUUAGUGGCUAUGGAAGCAACUUCUUCAUGAACCCCUUCUAACCAAUUGCUUACAUUUAUAUUUUUCGUUUUAUCCUACACAAAAAAAGCUUUAUAAGACCGAUUCCAUCACUAUAAACCAACAGACAAAAAAGAUUGUAAAGGGAAUAUAACCCACAUAAUGAAAACCUAAUAUUACUAAAAAUAAACCAUCAAGUGUAUUUUUCUGUUUAGUAAGCAGACAAACAAAAGAAAAGCACAUAAAAAUGCAAUAAUGUACUUAAUUAUUUCUAAUAAACAAAAAAGUACAUCCCUUGUUAUUCUCUUGUCUCAAGUUUGUGCUUUAUACCUCAGAUUAUGGGAAUAUUUAGGUCAAGAAUGCUUACCUAUAAUUGAAAACAUAAGAGUGGGAGAAUUCGUGGUUUUGAAAAAAAUCGACAACCAUUACAACACACGUUCAUUGAGGUUUGUUACAGGUUGCAGAUCCAAAUCCUAAAACACACACACACACACACACACACACACACAUAUAUAUAUAUAUAUAUAUAUAUAUAAUUCGAAGAAACAUAGUACCAUAUGAAACACUAGAAUCUGAAACACACAAACAGUUGAAAAAACACCAAAACCCAUAACUCAACAGAUCCAAAAAAUAAUUAGGUUAGAACUCUAAUCAACUCGACUUCAAGAUUCAUCAAUUAUUCUUUGAUUGUACGUCUAAUUCUGGUUUCCCACCAGGGAUCUGUUCAGAGAGCUAAUGGUGGUGGUGAGGAUGGGGUUGUUGUUGGGGGUAACGGUGACCAUGAAUGGUGGUGGCGAGGAUAGUGAAUGAUGCAUAGGUCCUGAUGGUAGGAUAGUGGUUGUUGAUAUGUGCAUAUUUACAUAUAUAUUUGACAUCAUAUCUUAAUAUUAUUAGCUAUAUUUAUGAUUAUUAUAGGAAAAAAAGUACUUAUUAUGUUUAAUAUCUGUUAUGAAGCAUAAAAUACAUUCUCGGAAGCAAUAUGGAAGCUGGAAGCUGGAAUGUAGAGCUUAGGCAAGAAUAAGACACAAGAAGGAUGUUGUUGGACAGCUUGACCCCUUGUCAGUAUUUUGGCCAUAUCUCAUGACUUGUAACUCCGAUUGACGUGAUUCAAAAUGAUCUGAAAACUAGACACAAUUUUAGACAAAUUUCAUGUUUUGAGAAAAUUCCGAUUUUUGAUAACCACUACGUGGUGAUACCACCACGACAUGGUGAAUGGAAUUUUCGCGAUUCUUCACGUUGGCUUGGGAAAUACGGGAUAAACACGAGGACCACGACGUGGUGCCUUUACCAUAUUGUGGUGGCUAGAUUUUAGGAAAGUAUAUAUAUCUGAACAUUAUGACGAAUUGGGGGACUUGGAGGUGACUUUCUGGAGAAGUAUUGUGACAAAAACCCUUCUAUGAACCCUGUGGGGUCGAUUUUGAAGCUAGGAAGUCAAUUGGAGAAAGGAUUUGCAUCUACACAUUCGAUUUUCUUAGUUUAAUGAUGUUUAGCUUAGUUUACCUUUUGUUUAUGUGUUCAUCAGUUGUGAUUAUGGGAUAAAACAUUUUCAUUCGUUUAGAUUAGAUGAACUCCUGAAUACUAUGUGUUGAUUUCUUGUUUUAUGGAUUGAUGAAGUUGGUUUUUGCUUUAAAUGUUGUUUGAUAAAUCUAAACCUAGAUUGUUAAAGUUUCUAUCUUUAUUUCCUUGUCUCAAGUUUUGUGUAGUUAAACUGCAGUUAGUUGCAUGAACUUGGUUUACCUAGUUGUUUAUGACCAUUAAAUUGCUAGAGCUAGAUAUUGAUCAUAUCUUAGUAUAGGUGAUAAGUUAGUUGCUUAGCUGUGUUUGAGAGCAGUAUUUGAUCAUAAUAUUUGCUCGAUUACUAGACUGAGAAAAGAACAGUAGUCUGUAGAUUAUAUCAUUCAUAGUUCAAAUUACCUUUAAAAUCAAUGUAGUGUCCUUAACUUUCAUGAUCAUUGGGGUUAAAGUUGUUAAAUUGACUUAUGCUAGUUAGUUUGACCAUGAUGACUAGUAACAAUUAUUUGGUAGCUAGCCGAAUUAAUCUAUUGUCUUGAAAUCAACCAUAGGAAACAGGAGGGAUUCGAAGGUAAAUGAAAGUAUCCAUUAUUCUUGAUUUGAAAUCGCCUUUCUAGUUGUUUGCUUUAGUAAUUAGUUUGUUAUUUUAAUUUAAGUUUUUCUGAACUUGUAAAAUCAUAUAAAACCCCCCAUUUUAGUUGUUUUUCUUAGUUUAGCUUUUAGUAGUUAUUUUAUUAAUUAAAUACCGUUCCCUGUGAUCGACACCCGACUUACCUAAACUAUUCUAUAAUUCGACUACGUACACUGCCUAUGUGUAUUUAGCUAGUUAAGUUCGUUAGGUUAUAAAUUCAAAACUAGAUAGUGGGUAGUUUUUAGCACAUCAGGUUUUUGGCAAUGUUGCUGGGGAAUGACUGAUUUGAUUAUUAGUUUAAUUGCUUUUAGUUAUUUGAUCCUUUUGUAGGGUAAAACCCACAAAAAGUUACUUCAGUUUCAUUUGUUUUUUUAGUUUUUUUCUCUGAAAUGCAACCACGACGUGGUUAUCUUCACCAUGUCGUGGUCUCACUUUAGUUAGUUUUUCAUUUUUUUGUUCCUUUUUACGCGUGUGUUUUCUAGUUUUUUUAGCAGGAAAUAUGGGGGACAUCAUGACUAUGUCAAUGAAAGAGUACAAGCGACAUAUGAGGAAUGAAAACAGAUGGGGUCUUGAUCCACCAAAAAUACCAACCACGACAAAGUUUGAACUUCCGGGGCACAUUAUUAAUAUGUUAAGGGAACUACCUUUUUAUGGGAAGGAGCACGAGGACGCUUAUGAACAUAUAGAAGAGGUGGUGGAGAUUUCACAUUAUUUUAAUGCUCCUAACGUGAGUAAAGAUGCGGUGAUGCUUGGAAUUUUACCGGUCAUAUUGAAGGGUGAAGCAAAAGAAUGGUUAAAAUCAUUUCACUUUGGAGCAAUCAUAACAUGGGCUGAUUUUAAGACCGAGCUCAUCAACUAGUUUACCCCUCCUUCAAAAGUGGCAAAGCUUAAGAGAAAUAUCCAUAACUUUCAAUAAUUAGAAGGGGAGUCGUUAUACGAAGCUUAGGAAUGUUACAAGAGAUUGUUACGACAUUGCCCUCAACAUGACUUCCAUUUGCAACAAGAAAUCUCGAUAUUUUAUGAUGGAUUCAAUGUGUGCACUCGUCAACUUCUAGACUCACAAGGGCCCAUGACAAAGAAGAAUCUGGCAACAAAUAAAGCUUUGAUUGAAGAAUUCUCAAAGCAUUCAAGAGAGUAUCACAACUCAAAGGAGGAUUUCACUAGAGGAAAUUCAAGUAAAGAUGGAGGUCAAGAUGCUAUUAGUGCAGUUAUUGCAAAGCUCGAUGCAAUGGAAGAAAAGAUCACAAAAUUGGGUGGACCAAUUCAAGAUAGAUGUGGAGCUUGUGGAGGACCCCAUUCUACUAUGGAUUGUGAUUUGGAGUACAAGAGAACUCAAGACACGACAAAAUAUCAACACCUAGAGCAUAAUCUCUACCAACUAGAACGAGUCCAAUCCGAGAAGAUAAAUGCUCUCGAGUCGAUGCUAUUCAGAUUCAUGGAAGCUAGCGACAAAAGACAUGAUGCAACUGAUGCAACACUUAGAGUUCAACAAGCAUCUAUUUUGAGCAUUCCAUACAGGUUGGGAAAUUAACAAAACUUUUACAAGAAAAGCUAUCAGAUUUACUUUCAAGAAAAGUCAAGUCAAUCCCUAUGGAUCAAGUCAUGGCUAUUGAUAUAUAAGAAGAAGAUGAAUUGGAGCAUAUGAAGGACCUUGAAUAGGAGUCUAAUUAGUCACUUGAAGUAAAAAGGGAAAAAGAAGAAGAGUAUUUUGAAGCUUCCCAGUCACAACGAAGUGGAGACAAUAGUGUCACGUCGUGGGCAAUAAAAGAACAUUAUGAUUUCUCAGUUGUUGAGCCAUAUUGACCACCUAUUCCUUUCCCAUCCCGUGCCAAUGCAAAUUUGGUGAAACAAGAAAACAUGAAGUUCCUUAAGCAUGAUGAAUUUGAAUGCACGAAGGAAGAAGAGUGGGAGGAAUGGGAGGAGCCUUUACCAAAAGAGCAAUUGGAAAAAGAAGUGAAUUAUUCAAAACCUCCAAUGUCAACCCCAAUGAUGUUUGAGGUGUUUACUUUUACAAGACCACCAAAUCCAGUAACAGAGGCGAUUGAAGAAAAAGAAGUAGAUAGUGAUGAGUCUCAUUUUGAAAAGAAAAACUCGGAAAGAGACAAGACAAAAGCUAAAGACACGAGAAUGAGGAAAGAACCCAAGGGAAACAUAAAGAAGAUGUCAACCCAAUAAUGCAAGAAAGUUAAACAAAGGCAUUCAAUAGAAGGGUUGCUUACAAACGGGUAAGGUUCAAGACGAUGGAGAACAGGGAGGUUACACUUCCACCCGACGCAACGUAGAGUGGGAAGGAGUCCCGCUCACGACUUCUCAAAAAGAAGCACUUGUUGGGAGAUAACUUAUGAGUUUGCAUUUUAGUUUCCUUUUGAUUUGUUUUAGUUUUAAAUUUUUGACUUUUAGUUUUUUUUUAGUUUAACCGAAUGAUGAUGUGUUUCUCUAGUUCUUGAUCUUAUUUUGUAGUGAAGAAAGAAGUGAAGCAGUGAAAGAGCUUAAUAUGAAGAAACCGUGUGAUUUUUGAAGAUCAUAAUUGAAGAACAAGUUUUUGAAUAAAUGUGGGGUUCCCAUAUAAUGAAUAGAAAAUCAUUUAGAAGCAUAUUUACUGAAAAGAAGAGUGGGAAUGGUCUUACACAUUACAAAGAUUCAAUGCCCACCUGUUUUAAUCUAAGAAGAUUCUUGUAACACCCCAAAUCAGGUAUUACUCUUUAGAACCUUGAAAUAGAAAAGAUGGCAUAAAAGGUCCCUUAGUACGCGGGGCGUACUCCAGAAGUAUGCUUAGCGUACUAAGGGUGCAUGAACGCGGAAGGUGGCCGCGUAUGCAGGGCGUACAUAUAGGUACGCGGGGCGUAUGUGACAGAGGGCCAAAACCCUAAUUCUCGGAAUUGACACCUAUUUAAACAACCUUAAGCCUCUUGGACCAAACCCUAAUUAGCCUACAUAGCCUCAUUUCGCCCUUUUACACCAAAUAUCCCUUGUAAGAGUGUUUUUGAGAUUAAGGAGUUUAUUUGUGGCCAUUUUAGAGUUAAUUCAAGAAGAAGGAAUUGCUAAGAAAGCUUGGAGUGGCAUUGGGCUUCAAGAAUCUGCAUCUAGUUCACCUUGAAGAGCUUUUGGAGGUAUAAAGCUUUGAUCUUGUCAUCUUAUUCAUUAGAUCUAGCUAGGGUUUUCUAUAUUGUCCCUUUAGCUGGUUUUGGACCUUCUCUUGAGAGUUAAGCAACUCCAGAGACUGAAAUGGUUAGAUCUGAGUUUUAUGAGCAUGCUAGAUGCAUAAAGGAGCUAGCUUGAAGAGUAUCUAGACUCCAUGCAUGAGUUUGAAGCUUUAUAUGAAGUCCUAAUGUGAAUAAUUAAGUUUUUAAGUCCUAUAUAGCAUGCAAGGGGAAAAUUUUGCCAAAUUUAUGCCCCAUGACGUCUUAAUGAGCUAAGAUCUAAUAUUAGACAUUAGAACAUCGAGUAUUAAGCACUUAAUGGAAGAAGCUGCUUAAUAUGUUUGUACGUUGGGCGUAACUUAGAGUACACAUCGCAUACAACUCAGGGACUUAGUACGUUGCACGUACCAGGGUGGUACGCAAGGCGUACGCACCUCAGAUGGGCUCAAACUUGUUUUGCACUUGUAAUCCAUUUGGGCCUUAAUCAAACUUUGGGCCUGGUCACCUUUUGAGUUAGUUGGCCAACUUAUUUGUUUUGGGCCAUGGUUACUAUGGUUGGGCUUUAUUGGGCCAUGAAACCCAUUAAUGAUUUUGGACAUGGACUUUGGGCCCAUUAGCAAAGGAAGACUUUUUGGGCCAUUGUGAAAGGACUUGGGGUUUGGGUUCUUUAAUUGGAUUAUGUUCAGCCCUAACCUAGGGUAAUGGUAUUAUUGUUCAACACGGGUGUUCACAGACUGUUAGGAGAGCAACUUUCAGAUUCAGCAGAUAGAGGUGAGUCUCCUCACCAUACCAAUGGGUCUAAAGCACCAAGGCCGACCCAUUUUAUGAUAUGUGGUAUACUAGCUGAAGUUAUAUUAUGUUUCAUGAUAGCUGGUUAUGUGUUAGGAAGUAUGCUAGCUAUAUAUGUGGUAUGCUUGUAUGGAAGACCAUGGGAGAGCCCAUGGCACCUGGAUGUAAGACCAUGUGGAGAGCCCAUGGCACCCGGAUGUAAGACCAUGUGGAGAGCCCAUGGCUUUCUUAUUAACGACCAUGGGAGAGCCCAUGGAACUUCGGUGUAAGACCAUGUGGGGAGCCCAUGGCAUCUUGGAGUAAGACCCUGGGGACGAGACCACGACAUCCCUAUAUGUUGUAUGCAUGGCUUAUAUGGUUUAUGUAGCUUUUAUAGCUACUAUGAAUUAUAUGAUUAUGUGGAUUGUGUGUGGUAUGCUCUGGGGAACUCACUAAGCAUUAGCUUACAAUUUAUUGAUUUGUUUGAGGUACUUCUGAGCCUAAGGGAAAGGGCAAGUCUUGAUGGCACGACAUGCACCCUCUCCGUUAUUUGAUUUGAUGGGACACUUUAAUGUUUGAAAUAAAAAGUUAAUGUUAUGAAUUUUGAAAACAAUAGUCAUUUUUACUUCAUAUUUUAUGGGAAUGUUUGAUUAAUUAAAAAUGAAAAUUUUUCUUUUGAAAAUUGGGUCGUUACAAGCUAGUAUUAGAGCCUUGGUUUGAUGGACUCGGACACACUCUCGGGUGUGUCAGGACUCAAACCAAGGAAAUGGUAAAAUUGUUUUAAAAAAUAAAAGUUCAAAACUUCUUAAAUUGGAAACGAAGAGAGUCCAAUGCACGUGAUCGACCAAUCCAAGUAAGUAGUUCCCCAUUAUGUUAGCCAUGUUAUACUGAUAUUUGAGUUAUGAUAAUCGUAUGAAUCUUGCUACGUGUAUGCUUUCUAAAUUGUAUACGGUUAGGAUCUUAGGGUAGAGUCUGUUAUUCGAAAGUCUAUUUGAUCCUGUUUUGUGUAUAAUUUGCAUGCAUAAUGCAACCCGUUAUGGCUGAGUUCUAGUUUGAUAUGGAUAGAGUAAAUCAUAGGAUAGCCUAACAUUUGAGCUCUGCGGUAUCCUGUGAGGCAUGACUUGUUCUGGGACGAAUUAGAGUUAUCUUGUAGAGCCUUAGGGAAGGUACAGGUAUGUGUGGAAGGUAGUAUUGGGCCCGUACUACUAGAAGCACAUGACAUGUACCUGAACCAAUGUUAAAUUUGGAAGCUCCAAGGAGAACUGGUGUGGAAGGACCCCCUUUUUGGAUAUCCUGAUCAUUAUGUUUUAUGGUAUUGCAGUAUAGUAUGGUGGUGAGAUGACAUGGAGCUGGGGGAUCAUGAUCAGGAUCUGGGGCUAGGUCAGGCGACAGUACCGAGUCCAUUGACGAGAGGCUGCGCGAGCAUAUCACAGUCGAGGUUAUGAUGGGCAUCAUUGAUGCUACCCCAGUGAUUUUUGGGACAGUCAAGGAACGGAUGAUGGAGAUUAUGGAGGAGAGGCUUAGGGCAUUCAGAGCCGAGAUUACUAUGAGCCAGGUCAGGGCCCGAACUCCCUCGUUCCGGGAGUUCAAGCCAUGUGGGGUGCCGGAGUUCUUCGGGGUCAGGGACCCCCUAAGUUAGCCGACGCUGGGUGGCGGACAUAGAGAACGCCCAACACACGAGUUCUUGCCUUGCUGCGGCCAAGGUGGGUUUUGCUUCGUGUAUGCUGAGGCAUCGAGCCCGGGAUUGGUGGGGUAAGGUGACUAGCCAGGUGGGAGCAGCCGGUGUGGCUAAGAUAACAUGGGCAAAGUUUGUCAAGCGUUUCGAUUUAGAGUUUGCACCACCCAUUAAGUUGUAACGUCUAGUGAGGGAGUUUCAUAAGCUCCAGCAGACCACUGAGAUUGUGAUGGAGAUCACUGCCAAGUUUUGAGAGCGAGCACUGUUGAUCCCACAAUAUGCUACAAACGAGUAUAUGACUUAUCAUUCUGAUGGGUUUUAGCCAUAAGAACAUCCUAUGUGCUCAUACAAACCCUAAUGCUUGGAUUUAGGUUUCUCUAUUGUACAUGCAAUUCAUCCAAGACUAUAAACCCUAGAUCUAGUACAUUAUAAUCAAUAUAAUAUAUGAAUUAGGGUUUAGAUCAUACCUUGAUUGUUAUGUAGCAAUAACAAUCUCAAAUUCUCCUUGUAAUGACUUUAGAAAACUUAGAGUCACAAAUGUCACUCCUCUAAUGGUUCACAAACACCAAGAGUAAGAGGAUGAAGAGGAGAAGAGAAGGAGGCUGCCCAAAACGUGUGGAAACCCUAACCAAUUAGUUCACCACGUUUUUGAGGCUUAAGGGUUCUUUAAAUAGUGAGGCUAUUAGGGGUAUCUAACAAGGAAACCCUAAUUUGGAUGCUUAGGCCCUAAGCAACCCAUGAACCCCCUUUCUUAAAGGCCUUUGGACGAUUUCUAAUGGGUUUCCCCAUAGAAUUCGUCCACCCCUUUAAUAUGGAGUCUAUUAGCCCAAUAUUCAACUAUCACACAAUGGACAGUUCUAGUCCCUUAAGUUUAAUUAAUGCCUUUUAGCCACAAACUUAAUUCUUAUUAAUUUUUGACUAAUAUUAAUUAAACAAUAUGAUUUCUCCCUUAAUAUAUUAUUCUCAUAAUAUAUUAAUAAAUCAUAAUUAAUCCUUUCUCUCAGUAAUUCAUCCUAUCAAGUUGCUUUGGUGAAGGCAACCCAAAAGGACCAUGCACCAUCGGGUCAAGUACAUACCAAAAUAGUUAUGGACUUAGACACUAAUCCAACACUCUCCCACUUGGAUAAGUCUAAUAACUAUUAUGCGUAUGACUUCAGAUCCUGAUCUGCAAUCGUAGCUUUCCAAAGCCGCUGUCAACUCUGAUCAUAUCAGAUACGCGUGUNNNNNNNNNNNNNNNNNNNNNNNNNNNNNNNNNNNNNNNNNNNNNNNNNNNNNNNNNNNNNNNNNNNNNNNNNNNNNNNNNNNNNNNNNNNNNNNNNNNNNNNNNNNNNNNNNNNNNNNNNNNNNNNNNNNNNNNNNNNNNNNNNNNNNNNNNNNNNNNNNNNNNNNNNNNNNNNAUAUCGCUUUUAUCCUACUUUGGAUAAAAGGAACGGAUAAACUUUGACUCAAUGCUCGCUUGCACUCACUCACCAAAUCACACACAACAAUAUGUUUUAUAACACCAAGUUACUGGUGCGUUUACAUAUUAUCAAUGUGCAACCAACUCGCAAGAUACAACUCCCACAUCUUGGUUUCAAGAAUAUAAGAUGUUAUCGUCUCACCAAUCACUUGUGAUGAAAUCCAUGAAGUGAUCCAAGUGAGCGUGGGUUUAAUCCAAUGCUCAAAUCAUAUUCAUAAGCACUCAUUCUUAAUAGAAUCUAGACAUAGAUUCUUAAUAUCUGACUCCCAAUAUGGAAACCUUUCCAUACUUACCAUAUGACUACUCAUUCUUAAUAGAAUCUUAUCUAUUCAUAAUAAUGUCGAUAUGGUCCAUCCAAUACUAUACUUCCAACUACUCACAAGCGACCAAUCCUCGGCGAACUUUGGAUUGUCCUUUGAUAGUUGUUUAAUUAUCUUAGUCAAAACCGAUUCUUGUCCUUUUUCCCUCUAAAUGCGCUAGACAUUUGGAAAAUUUUAGAAUGGUCAAAUAUUAUAGCAUUUGCAAUCGAUCCUAUACCCGAAGCGUAUGGGACACGAUGCAUAAUGUCUUACAUAAAGAUUUGAUACUUUAUCAAUCUUCUGCCAUAAUAUUUUAUGUGCUACGUUCUCAAAAUUCGAACUAUGAAGAGGAAUGCCAUAAUCAUAAUCGAAAUUUGAGAACACACUAUGUAUCCUUGACUAAAUUUAUUAACAUUCCACAACCUAAGCCUUUAGAUUUGAAAUGAAGCAUAAUAUUCUCUCCCUUAAUUAUAGCAAAACAACUAUUCAACCCUUACAACUUUGCAAAGUAUGACUCUUGUUUUCUAUAAUUAAUAUUGCUAACUUGCAAUACUUGCCUUAAUAAUCAUACAAUCAUAACAUUUAUGCUCCCACUAUCACGAUGAUUAUUAUAAACAUAACACUUAUGCUCCCACUAGCUUUGACAUGUAUUCAGAAACAGCUUAACUUUCAGAAAAACAAUGCCUUCUGAAUUUCUUUAAGUUCAUAUUUCUAAUACCCAAUGCUUUGAUAAUCUGUUAUCAAGGCUUUAUAAAUUUAUACACCUUUGCCUUAGAUAGUUCAUGUGUGUGUCUUAAACAAUUCAGACUAAUUGCCAGAUCUCACAAUUCAAAUCAUGGAAAGGGAUACCGUAACCAUAAUCGAAUUUGAGAAUACAAUUUUCACAAUCACUAUCUUCUUAAAAUCUAUCUUAGUGAAAGCAUUUCCUCAUAGUCAUUUUCAUGAAGGAGGGAAUCUUAUGACACUUAGAUUUUAAUGGUGUAUGUGUUCCUAUCCAUGUGAAUUUGUCAAAACCAAGGUUUACGACAAAUUCAAACUCAUAUGGACCGAACUUUCUUAAUCUUGAUUUCUUGCCUUAUGGUAGCACAGCUGCCCACCAUGUCUUCCAAGUAGUUAAGCAGCUCACCCUUUCCUAUCAAUGUACCUUUCAUUGAUUAAGGUGCUUUGCCUUUUAUGCGUUCAAAAUGAGAACUCAUAGAACUCACAUGCAUAAUUAACUCAAUUGGAACGGCACAGAAACAAGAUAAUGUCAACACGAUAGGUUGUAAACCUCAACUCGUGUGCUAGUGAUGAUCGAUAAGGUUUAUUCUUGAUUAGUUCUUGAAACUUUUCAAGACCAUUAAGACUCCUACUGACUCCUUGAUACAUAAGCAUUUCUUGACAAAAAAAUAUUCAAGAGUUAGUGCAACUUUUAUCAAGAUAAAACACUUCAUAAAUUGGUCCUAGUUGGUCUUUGUCUCAUCCAAGACAUCACAACUUUCCAAUUUUAAACGUGCAAGAAUAAAAAAAAACUUUUUCCUUAUUCUACAUUUGAUGAAUGUUGUAAACCUUCUUAAGACUUGUCACUCAAUGUCACAAUCUUAACUUUAAGACUUGUUUUGGAACGAAUUAUGAUUGGCUUCUUGAUUUAACCAUUUCUUCAAUUUUCGAUUCUUCUUAGACGUACAAUUGCACUAAGACUCACUUAGAGGAUCAAUUGAGAUAUGGUUCUUAAUCAUUAAGACCCAUCAUAAAACAUAAUAAAAGGUACUCUCCCUUCUUCUUAGAAUAGAGAAACGUUUAUCUUUCUGCCUACUUGAUUCUUCUUAUUUGUUCUGCUAUUGAUUUAAACUCUUUUCAAUCAACUAAGAAUCACACUUAAUCUCAUAAGCGUAAUCAUAUUUACUUAACCUUAGUAAAUCAUGACGAAUAUCUUUGUUACUCUUGUGAUGAACUUGAUCAACACACAACCUUGUGUACUCGAUCUCCUAGUCCGUCAUUUGACACUUUGUCAAUGAAUUAGUCUAAUUUUCCCAAAUGUGAAAGUUUUUCAUUCAUCGUGCAACCAAGUUGCAUGAUUCCAAGUUUCUGUCCAAUUGAAACUUGGGCGAUGAGAAACUUUCCCUAUUUGGUAAAUUCUUGACAUUUCCACAAUUAACAUAAUUAAGAAUCACAUCCAUUCGUUGUAGAAAUAUGCAAACAUCAAUUUUUCAUAACGAUUUCAUUGCAAGGAAAUAAUAAAAUAAAUAAAUACGUCAAACAAAAUUUAUUUUAUUCAUAAAAGCAGCGGAAAACAUUUGUCCUUACAAUUCAAAUCAACUGAAAAACUAUGUAAUCAAAUAUUCCUAACAACUCUAUCAUAACUUUCAAAACUCAAAAUCUAAUCUUCAAAUCCAUUUCUUCGUGAUUAGACUCAUCUUGCUCUUUCAUCAAGCUUCCUCUCUUUUCACUGAUCCUGCAAAACAUUCAAAUGCAAUCUUAUCACAUCAUGUAUUAAGAAUCAACGAAUAGGAACUUAAUGGAGUUAGAUAGUGGAUUUUACCUGAAGCACAACCAUACUCUUUGACUCUCCCAUCUUCUGGACUCUUCAGGCUCUUAGGGCAGACUUGUAUCCAACGCCCUUUCUCUUGGCAGCAAACGCAGGUCGNNNNNNNNNNNNNNNNNNNNNNNNNNNNNNNNNNNNNNNNNNNNNNNNNNNNNNNNNNNNNNNNNNNNNNNNNNNNNNNNNNNNNNNNNNNNNNNNNNNNNNNNNNNNNNNNNNNNNNNNNNNNNNNNNNNNNNNNNNNNNNNNNNNNNNNNNNNNNNNNNNNNNNNNNNNNNNNNNNNNNNNNNNNNNNNNNNNNNNNNNNNNNNNNNNNNNNNNNNNNNNNNNNNNNNNNNNNNNNNNNNNNNNNNNNNNNNNNNNNNNNNNNNNNNNNNNNNNNNNNNNNNNNNNNNNNNNNNNNNNNNNNNNNNNNNNNNNNNNNNNNNNNNNNNNNNNNNNNNNNNNNNNNNNNNNNNNNNUAUGAAAACUCCUAGAUCCUUUGAGAUUCAUUGAACUUUCAAUGGCAUGUUUAAAUCUCGAUAUGCCCCUCUUGUUUGUGACUGGGAUGCCGAGGAUCACAAAGCGGGUGUGAAUAACCAUGCAAACUUACAUGGUGCCCUCACAUGUUACAGUCACCUAUUCGAUGUGCCGGUAAACCACACACGCUCCACCGAACUAUGACAAACAUUGAGUCACCCUUUGCUACCUUUGCUUAGAACCAUUUAGUGUGCCGGUUAACCACACACGCUCCACUAACGUCUUCGCAAGGGCACAAAGUGUAAUUUCAUGGAAUUGCAUCAAUUCACUUUUGCCUAAGUAACUAAGAUUGGGAAUUUGUAAAACAUUUAGUUACUUUUGUACUUCAUUAUACUUAUAAUGGAAGGUUUUUGUCCUAUCCUACCCGUUCGGCUAA